AACGUAGGUGGCGAGCGUUAUCCGGAUUCAUUGGGCGUAAAGAGCUUGUAGGUGGCUCUGUAAGUUGGACGUGAAAGACCCGGGCUUAACCCGGGGGGGCCGUUCAAUACUGCGGGGCUGGAGGGCGUCAGAGGGGGGUGGAAUUCCUGGUGUAGCAGUGAAAUGCGUAGAUAUCAGGAGGAACACCCGUGGCGGAAGCGGCCCCCUGGGGCGCGCCUGACACUGAGAAGCGAAAGCUAGGGGAG
This 245-nucleotide ribosomal RNA is filed under the name uncultured bacterium. Its description in RNAcentral is "partial 16S ribosomal RNA". It matches the Rfam family "Bacterial small subunit ribosomal RNA", at positions 524 to 768 of the family's 1533-position model. The record is from RNAcentral.